This 50-nucleotide non-coding RNA is filed under the name bovine gut metagenome. The record is from RNAcentral.
CAGGAGGAUGGAUUUGACUGCUUGCAACCUCGUAAAAAAAUGCUAAAACU